UGGCUCAGGACGAACGCUGGCGGCGUGCUUAACACAUGCAAGUCGAACGCUGAAGCCCUUCGGGGUGGAUGAGUGGCGAACGGGUGAGUAACACGUGGGUAAUCUGCCCUGCACUCUGGGAUAAGCCUUGGAAACGAGGUCUAAUACCGGAUAGGACACAUGGCCGCAUGGUCUGUGUGUGGAAAGUUCCGGCGGUGCAGGUUGAGCCCGCGGCCUAUCAGCUUGUUGGUGGGGUGAUGGCCUACCAAGGCGACGACGGGUAGCCGGCCUGAGAGGGUGACCGGCCACACUGGGACUGAGACACGGCCCAGACUCCUACGGGAGGCAGCAGUGGGGAAUCUUGCGCAAUGGGCGAAAGCCUGACGCAGCAACGCCGCGUGGGGGAUGACGGCCUUCGGGUUGUAAACCUCUUUCGACAUCGACGAAGCCUUCGGGUGACGGUAGGUGUAGAAGAAGCACCGGCUAACUACGUGCCAGCAGCCGCGGUAAUACGUAGGGUGCGAGCGUUGUCCGGAAUUAUUGGGCGUAAAGAGCUCGUAGGCGGUUUGUCGCGUCGGCCGUGAAAACCUGCCGCUUAACGGUGGGCGUGCGGUCGAUACGGGCAGACUUGAGUUCGGUAGGGGAGACUGGAAUUCCUGGUGUAGCGGUGAAAUGCGCAGAUAUCAGGAGGAACACCGGUGGCGAAGGCGGGUCUCUGGGCCGAUACUGACGCUGAGGAGCGAAAGCGUGGGGAGCGAACAGGAUUAGAUACCCUGGUAGUCCACGCCGUAAACGGUGGGCGCUAGGUGUGGGGACUGUUUCCACGGUUCCUGUGCCGUAGCUAACGCAUUAAGCGCCC
RNAcentral lists this ribosomal RNA (838 nucleotides) under Saccharopolyspora sp. MOLA 1487. RNAcentral describes it as "bacterial SSU rRNA". It matches the Rfam family "Bacterial small subunit ribosomal RNA", at positions 20 to 869 of the family's 1533-position model. The record is from RNAcentral. Lineage: Bacteria; Bacillati; Actinomycetota; Actinomycetes; Pseudonocardiales; Pseudonocardiaceae. RNAcentral also lists the same sequence under 1 other name.